GACGAACGCUGGCGGCGUGCUUAACACAUGCAAGUCGAACGGAAAGGCCCUGCUUUUGUGGGGUGCUCGAGUGGCGAACGGGUGUGUAACACGUGAGUCACCUGCCCUUCACUUUGGGAUAACUUCAGGAAACUGGGUCUUAUACCGGAUAGCAGCUCCUGCUGCAUGGUGGUGGUUGGAAAGUUUCGGCGGUUGGGUAUGGACUCGCGGCUUAUCAUCUUGUUGGUGGGGUAGUGGCUUACCAAGGCUUUGACGGGUAGCCGGCCUGAGAGGGUGACCGGCCAAAUGGGGACUGAGAUACGGACCAGACUGAAACGGGAGGCAGCAGGGGGGAAGAGUGCACAAUGGGCGGAAGCAAGAUGCAGCAACGCCGCGUGCGGGAUGACGGCCUUCGGGUUGUAAACCGCUUUCGCCUGUGACGAAGCGAGAGUGACGGUAAUGGGUAAAGAAGCACCGGCUAACUACGUG
This 468-nucleotide ribosomal RNA is filed under the name uncultured bacterium. RNAcentral's name for it is "partial 16S ribosomal RNA". It matches the Rfam family "Bacterial small subunit ribosomal RNA", at positions 28 to 507 of the family's 1533-position model. The record is from RNAcentral.